AGAGUUUGAUCAUGGCUCAGAACGAACGCUGGCGGCGCGUUUUAAGCAUGCAAGUCGAACGGUAGUAGUAGCAAUACUAUUAGAGUGGCGAACGGGUGAGUAACACGUAGGUAAUCUAACUUUGGAUGGGGGAUAGCUCAUGGAAACAUGGGGUAAUACCGCGUAAGGUCCGCUGACGAAGGGUUGGCGGAUGAAAGACGCAAUUGUGUCGUCUGGAGAUGAGCUUGCGGUCCAUUAGCUAGUUGGUAGGGUAAAGGCCUACCAAGGCGACGAUGGAUAGCCGGCCUGAGAGGGUGUACGGUCACAUUGGGACUGAGACACGGCCCAGACUCCUACGGGAGGCAGCAGCUAAGAAUAUUCCGCAAUGGGAGCAAUCCUGACGGAGCGACGCCGCGUGGAAGAUGAAGGCAGAAAUGUUGUAAAUUCCUUUUAUACGGGAAGAAUAAAGAUAGGAGUGGAAAGCCUAUCCGAUGACGGUACCGUAUGAAUAAGCCUCGGCUAACUACGUGCCAGCAGCCGCGGUAAUACGUAGGAGGCAAGCGUUGUUCGGAUUUACUGGGCGUAAAGGGCAUGUAGGCGGUUAUGCAAGUGUGGAUUUAAAGGCAGAAGCUCAACUUCUAGCAUGGUCUGCAAACUGCAUAGCUUGAGUGUAGGAGGGGGAACUGGAAUUCCGCGUGUAGGGGUGAAAUCUGUAGAGAUGCGGAAGAAUACCUGUGGCGAAGGCGAGUUCCUGGUCUAUAACUGACGCUGAAAUGCGAAAGUGUGGGUAGCAAACAGGAUUAGAUACCCUAGUAGUCC
RNAcentral lists this ribosomal RNA (798 nucleotides) under uncultured bacterium. RNAcentral describes it as "bacterial SSU rRNA". It matches the Rfam family "Bacterial small subunit ribosomal RNA", at positions 8 to 796 of the family's 1533-position model. The record is from RNAcentral.